GUGGGGAAUAUUGGACAAUGGGCGAAAGCCUGAUCCAGCCAUGCCGCGUGAGUGAUGAAGGCCUUAGGGUUGUAAAGCUCUUUCAGUAGGGAAGAUAAUGACGGUACCUACAGAAGAAGCCCCGGCUAACUUCGUGCCAGCAGCCGCGGUAAUACGAAGGGGGCUAGCGUUGUUCGGAUUUACUGGGCGUAAAGCGCACGUAGGCGGAUCGUUAAGUCGGGGGUGAAAUCCUGGAGCUCAACUCCAGAACUGCCUUCGAUACUGGCGAUCUUGAGUCCGGAAGAGGUGAGUGGAACUCCUAGUGUAGAGGUGGAAUUCGUAGAUAUUAGGAAGAACACCAGUGGCGAAGGCGGCUCACUGGUCCGGUACUGACGCUGAGGUGCGAAAGCGUGGGGAGCAAACAGGAUUAGAAACCCUGGUAGUCC
This 425-nucleotide ribosomal RNA is filed under the name uncultured bacterium. RNAcentral describes it as "bacterial SSU rRNA". It matches the Rfam family "Bacterial small subunit ribosomal RNA", at positions 354 to 796 of the family's 1533-position model. The record is from RNAcentral.